GAUAAGCGCUGGCGGCGCGCCUAAUACAUGCAAGUCGAGCGAACGGACGAGAAGCUUGCUUCUCUGAUGUUAGCGGCGGACGGGUGAGUAACACGUGGAUGACCUACCUAUAAGACUGGGAUAACUUCGGGAAACCGGAGCUAAUACCGGAUAAUAUUUUGAACCGCAUGGUUCAAAAGUGAAAGACGGUCUUGCUGUCACUUAUAGAUGGAUCCGCGCUGCAUUAGCUAGUUGGUAAGGUAACGGCUUACCAAGGCAACGAUGCAUAGCCGACCUGAGAGGGUGAUCGGCCACACUGGAACUGAGACACGGUCCAGACUCCUACGGGAGGCAGCAGUAGGGAAUCUUCCGCAAUGGGCGAAAGCCUGACGGAGCAACGCCGCGUGAGUGAUGAAGGUCUUCGGAUCGUAAAACUCUGUUAUUAGGGAAGAACAUAUGUGUAAGUAACUGUGCACAUCUUGACGGUACCUAAUCAGAAAGCCACGGCUAACUACGUGCCAGCAGCCGCGGUAAUACGUAGGUGGCAAGCGUUAUCCGGAAUUUAUGGGCGUNAAGCGCGCGUAGGCGGUUUUUUAAGUCUGAUGUGAAAGCCCACGGCUCAACCGUGGAGGGUCAUUGGAAACUGGAAAACUUGAGUGCAGAAGAGGAAAGUGGAAUUCCAUGUGUAGCGGUGAAAUGCGCAGAGAUAUGGAGGAACACCAGUGGCGAAGGCGACUUUCUGGUCUGUAACUGACGCUGAUGUGCGAAAGCGUGGGGAUCAAACAGGAUUAGAUACCCUGGUAGUCCACGCCGUAAACGAUGAGUGCUAAGUGUUAGGGGGUUUCCGCCCCUUAGUGCUGCAGCUAACGCAUUAAGCACUCCGCCUGGGGAGUACGACCGCAAGGUUGAAACUCAAAGGAAUUGACGGGGACCCGCACAAGCGGUGGAGCAUGUGGUUUAAUUCGAAGCAACGCGAAGAACCUUACCAAAUCUUGACAUCCUUUGACAACUCUAGAGAUAGAGCCUUCCCCUUCGGGGGACAAAGUGACAGGUGGUGCAUGGUUGUCGUCAGCUCGUGUCGUGAGAUGUUGGGUUAAGUCCCGCAACGAGCGCAACCCUUAAGCUUAGUUGCCAUCAUUAAGUUGGGCACUCUAAGUUGACUGCCGGUGACAAACCGGAGGAAGGUGGGGAUGACGUCAAAUCAUCAUGCCCCUUAUGAUUUGGGCUACACACGUGCUACAAUGGACAAUACAAAGGGCAGCGAAACCGCGAGGUCAAGCAAAUCCCAUAAAGUUGUUCUCAGUUCGGAUUGUAGUCUGCAACUCGACUACAUGAAGCUGGAAUCGCUAGUAAUCGUAGAUCAGCAUGCUACGGUGAAUACGUUCCCGGGUCU
RNAcentral lists this ribosomal RNA (1372 nucleotides) under uncultured bacterium. Its description in RNAcentral is "bacterial SSU rRNA". It matches the Rfam family "Bacterial small subunit ribosomal RNA", at positions 28 to 1381 of the family's 1533-position model. The record is from RNAcentral.